CAGAUCCAAGCCAUGUCUGCGACCUACACCACAGCUCAUGGCAACACUGGAUCCUUAACCCACUGAGCAAGGCCGUGGAUCGAACCUGCGUCCUCAUGGAUACUAGUCAGAUUCGUUUCUGCUGUGCCACACGGGGCCUUGAAAUACGGUUGGGGUCUGAAUAUGGAACAGUGCAGAGAAGAGGGACGGGCACCCCACAUGGAUGAGCAGUGAGAAAAAGAGCUUGGUGGAAAGAGUGGGGGCGCGCCUGGGGACGGCAAGGAAGCCGGGUCCAGGAGGCAGAGGAUGUGCGGGGAAGGCGGAAGAUGUGGUUGACUGAGAGGUGGCCAUGGGAAGCUCGAGUGAACCACAUCGAAGCCCUCCGUCUAGCGUCGCUUUGCAGUCGUGUGUGUGUGAUUACUGUCCACCCAUCCAUAGGGCCACCCCGCUACCCUGUGAGCACAGGGGCAUAUGUUUUAUCAUGGACACUGGUAUGUGUAAAGACUUGCGUGUGCCAGACACACCUGGCUCAAAUGGGAGUGCAGCUCUUCCUCAGUUUUGUGUAAUUGCUGGUCACUGAGCUCCAGCGGAGAGCCAUGCCUGGCACUCUGAGACUGACACGCUACCUGCUGUGCUAACAAGGCACCUCAAUGCCUGGCACUAGAUGCUGGAGCGUGAGGACAAACAGGUUGAGAUCUAAAAAGUAAGACUUGGACCGGGGCUGUCCUUAGACUCACCUGAGUCCUUCAGACCUUCCUUCCUGCAGAACCUGGGGAGAUGUUGGGCUGAAGACUGAGGAUGCAGACACCGCGUCUGCCAUCUUCGUCCCAGCAGCUUCCACGCCAAUGCUGAGCUGCCACUGCUCUGCCUUGGGGCCAGACGAAAGGCCGUGUUCUCAUCCAGCGCCCCCUCUGAAAAAGCAGUUUGGUACCUUCUUAUAUACACCCACAAGGCUGGCCCCAGAUUGCAAGAAAUAUUCAGAAGUGGUUUUCAAUGAUAACAUCCAGCUAACUCCUCUAAACCCAGGAGGCCUGGAGGCUGUUUAUCUCAAGGAAGAUGCCUGGAGCCUUCCCCCCGGACAUAAAUGGAGGAUCCCAGAACGUGUGAACAUGCAUCCUCUGACUGGGUACCGGUCAGCUGUCCCCCCGCCCCCACCACCAGGCACAGGAACCAAGGCAGAGGGCGGGAGGCAGGAGAGGCCAAAGUCCUUACCUGCUUCUGAGCCCAGGUUUUCCUGGCAGAGCUGGGAAGCGGGAAGUAUCUCCCUACCUGCCUCUAGCCCUGAGAUGCUGAGAAGGAAGCCAGGACCCCGAGGGAGGCUUUGGAUCUCUGCAGGACUGUGCCUGUGCCAUCUCUGGCACCAGUCUUUACUGAGCCCCCAGCAGGUUACCGUAGCAUCCAGUCUGGUCUGGCCUGGCACCUAAGAGAUUGGGUUUUAAAACGAGGGCCUAUCUACAAAAAAUAAAGUAAUAGUGACAGCUAAAUUUAUCAAGUAGUUACUCUGUUCCAGGUGUGGUGCUAAGUGUUUGCUUUGCAUUCGCUCAUUUAAGCCUCCCCGUGACUCUGGAAUAAUUGUGGGAUUGUUUGACAGCUGAGGAAACUGAGUCACAGAGAGACAUGGUCUCUUUCUGAAAUCACUCGGCCAGUAACAGGUGGAAGUGGACAUUGAACCCGUCUGCCUCCAGAGCUUGUACGCCUCAGGGAAGUCGGCCCCGGGGGGUGUGUAGGAGCCACCAGAGGUCAGAGCAGAGAGGUCAGCUGCUGACCAGCCGGACUCUGAGAUCCGGUUUCUCGCUGUUGGAGCCGGCUGCCCCCACUGCUUCAGGGAGGGGACUGCUGCCCUGCUGUAUGAGCCACCUUUGCCAGGAGGAUUAGCUUCUUCCUCGUGUCAAAACAAGCCAAGCAGGAAAAAAAUCAACAACCAACUCCCGACUUCCAGCAGCAAGAGCCCUGCAUCCUGUCCAGCAGGAGGGAGCUCUCCGCUGCGGAGGGGGUCGACUGUCCUAGACCACGUCCUGGUUGUGGGCGUGUGCCGAGAGGGACCCCGAGACCCCCGGGUUUCCAGGUCGGGGCCCCGAGGCCCUGCCAGUGCACAGUCCCUGGCAGCAGCCCUUCUCCUCUGCUCCCCAUCCAGCCCUGUGACGUCUGCUGAUAUCCCGUCCUGCCACGGGCUUGCUCUGCGUCCACGGCGAGCCCAGUGACCGUUUGCAGGGUAAGGACAUUGGAUGUGAGCAGUGGUUUUCAAAACAAAAUGUUUCUUUGUUGCAAAGGAACAUGUUCUUCAGAUGAAACAACUUCUGCUAGAAUAGCAAACAGUCUAAAGCAGAGGUGUCAGUUUUCGUAAAAAUAAACAAGGGCCAAAAACCUUGGGUCAGUCAAAAUUCUCUGCAAAUGGUUCCCUGAGCCUGACUGGAUCUCCUUUUGCCACUCCUGCCCCCUUUGGUGGCCUUUGCACCUUCUGGCUUGAUUGGAAGUUGUGGAUUCUUCGGAGCCCCCUCAGCUUCCUCCAUGGAGCCUCAGUGCGUCGUGGUUCCAGCUGCAUUUAUUAACCAUUUUAAUCGUUGGGCUCCCCCGAACUGCCUGGUGGUAGCUUCAGAGAAUGUGUGUGUAUAUUUGCAUACACAUGGUAUUUGCAUAGAUGAUGUAUGCAGACAGCAUAUAUUUGCAUAUGCAUUUAUGUAUAUGUGUGUAUCCGUGGGAACAUAUGUGCGUAUGCAUGUGCGUGUCACAUACGGAGAGAGCCUUUGGAGAGAGGCCAUGUCUUUGUGUCCCUCAGCACCUGGUCAGCAGUAGGCCCGCAGGAGCGUUUCGAUCGCGGGGGUCUUCUGCGUCCUCAGAACAUCUUCUUGCCCAUGUCAGGUGCUCAGUAAAUACUAGCGUCGAAUGAUUGGGUGACUUGGCAGGUCAUACCUGGAAAGUCUUGGCUAUCAAUCUUGGGUCUUGCCAUGUACUUGCUGUAAAAUCGGGGUAAAUAUUCAUCACUUGUCUUAACCAUCGGGUGGGGAUGACAGCGCAUGCCUGCCGCAACUGCUGAUGGAAUGCCUGCCACAGUCCAGGCACGCCUCUCAGCAGUUUACAAAGCAGACAGAGGUCCUUGUCCUCAUGGAGCUCACAUUUCAGCCAGAUUCGAGAAGAGCCCCUCUCCCGCCCCCGACCCCGAGUUGCUGGGAGAAGAGGAGGAGGAAAGGGUCCCUCCUGCUUGGUCAGAGGCAGAGCCACAACCUGGGUUGGGACUGCCACAGGAUGGAGGGGCGCUGGUGGCCUGUGUGGGACACAGGACUCUCAGCGCGGAGUUUACGCCAUGAGAGAAGAGGAGGAGGAAAUGCCAUCGGGGCUGAGCUGGAAGGGUAGCAAGUCUCUCUGCCUCCCCAGGCACCUGCUCUGACUGACCCUGAGGCUGUGCCCCCCGCCCCCAGUCAGCACCACGUGGAGCUGCCCUCGUCUGAGGGCUGCAGCCCCAGAGCCCUGCUGCCUCCAUGCCUCUCUUUUCUAGUGGCAUCUCUUUUACCCAUUUCCAGGGCAUCGCUCUGGGAAAUAGAGAGAGGAGGCUUUGGCCCUGGUCACCUCUGGCUGCCCUGCUGGCCCUCGGAGCCGCAUGUUCAUGGAGGUUUGUCCCUCACCGAGGAUGAUUUCGAGUGAGUUUUACUUGAUCUUGGCUCUGCUUUAGUGCCCUCGUCUAUAAGGUGGGACUGGUAAUAAUUGCACUUACCUCAUGGAGUUAUUGAAAGGAUUAAAUGAGCCUGUAAAGUGCUUAAAAUAGUAUCUGGCUCAGAGUAAGUGCUCUGUCUGUUCAUGCUGGAUGGCUGGACGCAUUUGUGUAGUGGCGGUGGGCCUGUCUGCUUGGCCCUGUGACCACGAGCUCGCCGUGGGCAGGACACAUCCCACGUGUCCCUAUAGUCUCAGCACCUAGCCCGGUGCCUGGCACACGGUAGGCAUGCCGCAAAUACACGUUAUGAGAACAGUGACCACUCUGGGAACUUUCACAUGCCACAGGUGUGG
RNAcentral lists this long non-coding RNA (3978 nucleotides) under Sus scrofa (pig). Its description in RNAcentral is "lncRNA (ENSSSCG00055002071.1)". Lineage: Eukaryota; Metazoa; Chordata; Mammalia; Artiodactyla; Suidae. The record is from RNAcentral.